AACGAACGCUGGCGGCAUGCCUAACACAUGCAAGUCGAACGAUCCCUUCGGGGAUAGUGGCGCACGGGUGCGUAACGCGUGGGAACCUGCCCUUAGGUUCGGAAUAACUCAGAGAAAUUUGAGCUAAUACCGGAUAAUGUCUUCGGACCAAAGAUUUAUCGCCUUUGGAUGGGCCCGCGUUGGAUUAGCUAGUUGGUGGGGUAAAGGCCUACCAAGGCGACGAUCCAUAGCUGGUCUGAGAGGAUGAUCAGCCACACUGGGACUGAGACACGGCCCAGACUCCUACGGGAGGCAGCAGUGGGGAAUAUUGGACAAUGGGCGAGAGCCUGAUCCAGCAAUGCCGCGUGAGUGAUGAAGGCCUUAGGGUUGUAAAGCUCUUUUACCCGGGAUGAUAAUGACAGUACCGGGAGAAUAAGCCCCGGCUAACUCCGUG
Molecule: ribosomal RNA, 433 nt
Filed under: uncultured bacterium
Lineage: Bacteria
Description: partial 16S ribosomal RNA
Rfam family: Bacterial small subunit ribosomal RNA
Source: RNAcentral